Molecule: unclassified non-coding RNA, 430 nt
Filed under: Hevea brasiliensis (rubber tree)
Lineage: Eukaryota; Viridiplantae; Streptophyta; Magnoliopsida; Malpighiales; Euphorbiaceae
Source: RNAcentral
GGAAGAAUUAUGGAGAUUUUGUAUGAGGGCAAGCAUUGGUGCAACAGUAAGGUUGCUCCUUUGUGACCGGAAGGUCAUCAAUUUGAAUGAUGAAAACAGCCUCUAUGCAAAAAAGCAGGCGAAGCCGCGAAGGCUAUGUCUAAUACAAGGCCCUCCCUUGACCCUCACAGAGUAGGGAGUCUUGUGUACCCUGGAAACCCUUUAUGCAGAUUUGAUACAUAAAAGCACAAAUUCAAUUUUCCUUUCUGCGUUCAUGGUUAAAGUUGAAGUUUUAUGGGGGAAUAUUUUGUUACGUUGUUCAUUCUCCAUGCUGCAUCCCAUAUGAUUUUUUUGACACAUUAUUUUUGAAGUUUUUACCUCUUCUUUUAGAGUGAGAAUGUCUUCCACUGCCACUUCUUAGAUUAGAUGCGUUCGUAUGAAUAUAAGUAAG